GGGUGAGUAACACGUAGGUAAUCUACCUUCGGGCGGGGAAUAACAACCGGAAACGGUUGCUAAUACCGCAUAAUGCAGCGGCACCUAAUGGUGACAGUUGUUAAAGCGGGGGAUCGCAAGACCUCGCACCUGAAGAGGAGCCUGCGGCGGAUUAGCUAGUUGGUAGGGUAAUGGCCUACCAAGGCGACGAUCCGUAGCCGGCCUGAGAGGGCGGUCGGCCACACUGACACUGACAUACGGGUCAGACUCCUACGGGAGGCAGCAGUCGGGAAUUUUGGGCAAUGGGCGAAAGCCUGACCCAGCAACGCCGCGUGAAGGAUGAAAUCCCUCGGGAUGUAAACUUCGCAAGAACGGGAAGAAUAAGUCUAAGCCAAUAACUUAGGCGAUGACGGUACCGUUUGUAAGCUCCGGCUAACUCCGUGCCAGCAGCCGCGGUAAUACGGGGGGAGCAAGCGUUGUUCGGAUUUACUGGGCGUAAAGGGCGCGUAGGCGGCCUCCGCAAGUCAAUUGUGAAAUCUCCGGGCUUAACUCGGAAAGGUCAACUGAUACUGCGGGGCUAGAGUGCGGAAGGGGCAACUGGAAUUCUCGGUGUAGCGGUGAAAUGCGUAGAUAUCGAGAGGAACACCUGCGGCGAAGGCGGGUUGCUGGGCCGACACUGACGCUGAGGCGCGAAAGCCAGGGGAGCGAACGGGAUUAGAUACCCCGGUAGUCCUGGCCUUAAACGAUGAAUGCUUGGUGUCUGGGGUUUUAUAGUCCCCGGGCGCCGUCGCUAACGCUUUAAGCAUUCCGCCUGGGGAGUACGGUCGCAAGACUGAAACUCAAAGGAAUUGACGGGGACCCGCACAAGCGGUGGAGCAUGUGGUUUAAUUCGACGCAACGCGAAGAA
This 886-nucleotide ribosomal RNA is filed under the name uncultured bacterium. Its description in RNAcentral is "bacterial SSU rRNA". It matches the Rfam family "Bacterial small subunit ribosomal RNA", at positions 104 to 968 of the family's 1533-position model. The record is from RNAcentral.